This 442-nucleotide ribosomal RNA is filed under the name Elymnias malelas. Its description in RNAcentral is "partial 28S ribosomal RNA". The record is from RNAcentral. Lineage: Eukaryota; Metazoa; Arthropoda; Insecta; Lepidoptera; Nymphalidae.
AAACCUCCGAAACUCGAAUGAACGAACGGAGAGAUUCAUCGACAUCCGGCGGAGUACGGGCGCGCGCCACGAUGUCGCGCCUCCCCCCUCGCGGGUGUGUCGCGCGGCACGGGUCGCGUCCGUCGACGCCCGCCGGCGUCGUGCACUUCUCUCUCAGUAAUACAUCGCGACCCGUUCGCGGUCGGCCUAAGCGCCGUCCGGGAGCCCAGGGGGAGCGCUCGCGCACCCCCUGGACCGUGACGGCGGCCGGCCGGCCGUCUCGGACGGUAGUACGAAAUCGUACAAUGCGACGAACCGCGCACGCGCCUCGCGCGCGUCCGGCCCGACGCAAGCGAACGCCGCACAAUGUCGCGGUCCUGCCUACGCGCGGACCGCGACGCGGCGCUGCUGUCGUCGCAGCCGUGCUGUCUCGGACCGUGCGCGUCUCAGUCUGCGAUGAUUC